This is a non-coding RNA of Acanthosepion pharaonis, 113 nucleotides long. NCBI's taxonomy places the organism in Eukaryota, Metazoa, Mollusca, Cephalopoda, Sepiida, Sepiidae. The record is from the annotation of a GenBank genome assembly.
UUACGGCCAUAUCGGAUUGAAAGACCGGUUCCUGUACGACCGCCGAAGUUAAGCAACGUCAAACUUGGUCAGUACCUACAUUGGAGAUCGCUUGGAAAUACCAGGUGCUGUAC